Long non-coding RNA from Mastomys coucha (southern multimammate mouse), 451 nucleotides. RefSeq lists it as uncharacterized. The record is from RefSeq and is a predicted model, not a curated record. The transcript has 2 exons. NCBI's taxonomy places the organism in Eukaryota, Metazoa, Chordata, Mammalia, Rodentia, Muridae.
AUAAAGAAAUGGCAAACCCCACCUCCCUUUCAGUCCUAGGACCCGACACAUCCUUCUACUGUCUUCUGUCCUCUGGUUUGUUUGCCCAUCAAAUCACAAACUUAAGACUCAUGAGGGCUCCAUAUUGAGAUGCCUGGUGCAUGUGAGCACUGACCAUUGCCCAGCACCACUGUGUUCUUCCUUAUGUCCAGAGCAAAGACUUAAAGAAUCUUUUACAGAUAAGAAACUAAUAUCUGAAAAUGGGAGCCUCCUGUCCUGAGAGAAUGCAAGACCAGUUUCUUAUGAAGACCUUCAGCUCUUCAGUUCUGAGUUUAGUGUUGUCUCCCUCUCUGCAAUAGUUUCAAGCCUGUGGAUGCUCUUGGGCUUAUGUGCUUCAUUGGAAACACUGUCAGUCAUUUGCUACCACUAAGUCACUGAUCCAAGACAUUUCCUUACUUCCCACCACUUUACA